RNAcentral lists this ribosomal RNA (481 nucleotides) under uncultured bacterium. RNAcentral's name for it is "partial 16S ribosomal RNA". It matches the Rfam family "Bacterial small subunit ribosomal RNA", at positions 29 to 507 of the family's 1533-position model. The record is from RNAcentral.
ACGCACGCUGGCGGCGUGCUUAACACAUGCAAGUCGAACGAUGAAGAAGAGAAACGCGAACUUCGGUUCAAAUUUCACUUCGGAUUAGUGGCAGACGGGUGAGUAACGCGUGAGCAACCUACCUCUUACAAAGGGAUAGCCUCGGGAAACCGUGAUUAAUACCAUAUGACACAUUCAUAAGGCAUCUUAAGAAUGUUAAAGCUACGGCGGUAAGAGAUGGGCUCGCGUCCCAUUAGCUAGCUGGUGAGGUAACGGCCCACCAAGGCGACGAUGGGUAACCGGCCUGAGAGGGUGAACGGUCACAUUGGAACUGAGACACGGUCCAAACUCCUACGGGAGGCAGCAGUGGGGAAUAUUGCACAAUGGAGGGAACUCUGAUGCAGCGACGCCGCGUGAGCGAUGAAGGAAUUCGUUUCGUAAAGCUCUGUUCUAUGGGAAGAAAAGGACUGUACCAUAGGAGAAAGCCCCGGCUAAAUACGUG